AGAGUUUGAUCAUGGCUCAGAACGAACGCUGGCGGCAGGCUUAACACAUGCAAGUCGAACGCCCGAGCAAUCGGGAGUGGCAGACGGGUGAGUAACACGUGGGAACAUACCCUUUGGUUCGGAACAACGCCGGGAAACUGGCGCUAAUACCGGAUACGCCCUUUGAGGGAAAGGCUUGCCGCCGAAGGAGUGGCCCGCGUUCGAUUAGCUAGAUGGCGGGGUAACGGCCCACCAUGGCGGCGAUCGAUAGCUGGUCUGAGAGGAUGGCCAGCCACAUUGGGACUGAGACACGGCCCAAACUCCUACGGGAGGCAGC
RNAcentral lists this ribosomal RNA (316 nucleotides) under uncultured bacterium. RNAcentral describes it as "bacterial SSU rRNA". It matches the Rfam family "Bacterial small subunit ribosomal RNA", at positions 8 to 352 of the family's 1533-position model. The record is from RNAcentral.